GACGAAAUAGUUCAGUAGGUAGAACAACAGGAUCAUAAUCUGUGUGUCGGGGGUUCAAGUCCCUCUUUCGUCA
RNAcentral lists this transfer RNA (73 nucleotides) under bacterium TMED88. RNAcentral describes it as "tRNA-Met". It matches the Rfam family "tRNA". From Rfam's summary of the family: Transfer RNA (tRNA) molecules are approximately 80 nucleotides in length. RNAcentral also lists the same sequence under 2 other names. The record is from RNAcentral.